RNAcentral lists this ribosomal RNA (425 nucleotides) under uncultured bacterium. Its description in RNAcentral is "bacterial SSU rRNA". It matches the Rfam family "Bacterial small subunit ribosomal RNA", at positions 355 to 796 of the family's 1533-position model. The record is from RNAcentral.
UAACGAAUCUUCCGCAAUGCGCGAAAGCGUGACGGAGCAAUGCCGCGUGCAGGAUGAAGCCCUUCGGGGUGUAAACUGCUGUCAGGGAUUAGGAAGCAAGUGACCAGUCCCAAAGGAAGAGACGACUAACUCUGUGCCAGCAGUCGCGGUAAUACAGAGGUCUCGAGCGUUAGUCGGAUUUAUUGGGCUUAAAGCGUGCGUAGGCGGAUGUGCAGGCGUCGUGUGAAAGCCCUCGGCUCAACCGGGGAACUGCACGGCGAACCGCAUGUCUUGAGACAAGUAGGGGCGGCCGGAACGAUAGGUGGAGUGGUGAAAUGCGUUGAUAUCUAUCGGAACGCCGAAGGUGAAGACAGGCCGCUGGGCUUGUUCUGACGCUGAGGCACGAAAGCGUGGGGAGCAAACGGGAUUAGAUACCCCGGUAGUCC